RNAcentral lists this ribosomal RNA (101 nucleotides) under Acinetobacter sp. SWAC5. Its description in RNAcentral is "partial 16S ribosomal RNA". Lineage: Bacteria; Pseudomonadati; Pseudomonadota; Gammaproteobacteria; Moraxellales; Moraxellaceae. The record is from RNAcentral.
GAUGAGCCAAGAUUGGUACCCUUUAAAGGUACUAUUGAUUUUAAACUGAAGAGUUUGAUCAUGGCUCAGAUUGAACGCUGGCGGCAGGCUUAACACAUGCA